RNAcentral lists this non-coding RNA (21 nucleotides) under Rattus norvegicus (Norway rat). Lineage: Eukaryota; Metazoa; Chordata; Mammalia; Rodentia; Muridae. The record is from RNAcentral.
UUAUGUAGUGUGCAAAUGAUU